AAGUCGUAACAAGGUUUCCGUAGGUGAACCUGCGGAAGGAUCAUUAACACGUAUCCACGUAUAAACCCUAUUGUGCUCCUGUAUACCGCCGCAAAGACACCCGCGUACUCACCUACCGGGUCGGCCUAAUAACCACUGCCUGGGGAGUUAUGUUUCUGGGUAUAUUGCUUCGGCAAUUGCCUUUAAAUACAGCUCUCAGUUGGCAGCGUCUUUCGCAGGCAUUGUUUCAAAUUUUAAACCUAAUUUUUAACCCCUUUACCAAUGUCUUUACUGACUUUUAUUGUGUCUUUCAGCUGUUACCGGCUGAACUACAUUAUUAUUUUACGAAAUGUUGAACAACUCUUAGCAACGGAUAUCUUGGCUCUC
RNAcentral lists this unclassified non-coding RNA (366 nucleotides) under fungal sp. RNAcentral's name for it is "partial internal transcribed spacer region". The stretch from base 1 to 46 matches the Rfam family "Eukaryotic small subunit ribosomal RNA", at positions 1786 to 1831 of the family's 1831-position model. The record is from RNAcentral. Lineage: Eukaryota; Fungi.